GACGGAGGAUGCAAGCGUUAUCCGGAAUUAUUGGGCGUAAAGCGUCCGUAGGCGGUUUCAAAAGUCUGUUGUUAAAGCCCACAGCUUAACUGUGGAUCGGCAAUGGAAACUGUGAGACUAGAGAGUGGUAGGGGUAGAGGGAAUUCCUAGUGUAGCGGUGAAAUGCGUGGAUAUUAGGAGGAACACCGAUGGCGAAGGCAGGUUCUUGGACAGAAGGUGACGCUGAGGCGCGAAAGUGUGGGGAGCAAACCGG
Molecule: ribosomal RNA, 253 nt
Filed under: uncultured bacterium
Lineage: Bacteria
Description: partial 16S ribosomal RNA
Rfam family: Bacterial small subunit ribosomal RNA
Source: RNAcentral